CCUACGGGGGGCUGCAGUGAGGAAUCUUGCGCAAUGGGGGAAACCCUGACGCAGCGACGCCGCGUGCAGGACGAAGGCCUUCGGGUUGUAAACUGCUUUUAAGAAGGAAGAAGUUCUGACGGUACUUCUUGAAUAAGCCCCGGCUAACUACGUGCCAGCAGCCGCGGUAAUACGUAGGGGGCGAGCGUUGUCCGAAGUUACUGGGCGUAAAGCGCGCGUAGGCGGGCUAUUAAGUCGGAUGUGAAAUCUCCACGGCUCAACCGGGAAACUGCAUCCGAAACUGGCAGCCUUGAGGUAUGGAGAGGGAAGUGGAAUUCCUGGUGUAGCGGUGAAAUGCGUAGAUAUCAGGAGGAACACCCGUGGCGAAGGCGGCUUCCUGGCCAUAUCCUGACGCUGAGGUGCGAAAGCUAGGGGAGCGAACGGGCUUAGAUACCCCGGUAGUC
RNAcentral lists this ribosomal RNA (443 nucleotides) under uncultured bacterium. RNAcentral describes it as "bacterial SSU rRNA". It matches the Rfam family "Bacterial small subunit ribosomal RNA", at positions 338 to 795 of the family's 1533-position model. The record is from RNAcentral.